UCUAGAACUCAAGAUAUGGGCUGAACACUGAACAAUAUUUGGGCUGCAUAAUAGAUUCAGACUUCUCCGUUAUUGCUACAAUUUGGACUUGAAAACGGCCUUUUUAAAUCUUUGACUCCCUAGAAAAGUUUUAGGCCUAUGUCUUAGCUUUCCAUC
This is a non-coding RNA of Populus trichocarpa (black cottonwood), 156 nucleotides long. The record is from Rfam. NCBI's taxonomy places the organism in Eukaryota, Viridiplantae, Streptophyta, Magnoliopsida, Malpighiales, Salicaceae.